RNAcentral lists this small RNA (6251 nucleotides) under Pongo abelii (Sumatran orangutan). Its description in RNAcentral is "retained intron". Lineage: Eukaryota; Metazoa; Chordata; Mammalia; Primates; Hominidae. The record is from RNAcentral.
CCCGGCGGUGAGAGUCGGCCCAAAAAGCGGCGGCUGUUGGAGGUGGCUGCGGCAGCUGAUGUGGCCUCAUGGAUGAGCUGGUACACGACUUAGCCUCAGCCUUGGAGCAGACAUCUGAGCAGAAUAAGCUUGGUGAACUGUGGGAGGAGAUGGCCCUGAGCCCCCGACAGCAGAGGCGGCAGCUUCGGAAACGCCGAGGUCGGAAGCGUCGUUCUGACUUCACUCACCUGGCAGAGCAUACCUGCUGCUACAGCGAGGCCUCUGAGUCAAGUCUGGAUGAGGCCACUAAGGACUGUCGAGAAGUGGCUCCGGUGACCAAUUUUAGUGAUUCUGAUGACACAAUGGUAGCCAAACGACACCCAGCUCUCAAUGCCAUUGUUAAGAGUAAGCAACAUUCUUGGCAUGAAUCUGACUCCUUUACUGAAAAUGCACCUUGUCGACCACUCAGGCGUAGGCGGAAGGUGAAGCGAGUGACAUCAGAGGUGGCUGCUAGCCUUCAGCAGAAGCUGAAGGUGUCAGAUUGGAGUUAUGAGAGAGGCUGCAGGUUCAAGUCUGCUAAGAAGCAGCGUCUGUCCCGCUGGAAGGAGAAUACUCCCUGGACCUCAUCAGGCCACGGAUUGUGUGAAUCAGCAGAAAAUAGGACUUUCCUAAGCAAAACAGGAAGGAAAGAAAGGAUGGAGUGUGAAACAGAUGAACAAAAACAGGGCUCUGAUGAGAACAUGUCAGAAUGUGAAACCAGCAGUGUGUGUAGCAGCAGUGACACUGGGCUCUUUACCAAUGAUGAAGGGCGACAAGGUGAUGAUGAACAGAGUGAUUGGUUCUAUGAAGGAGAAUGUGUCCCAGGAUUCACUGUCCCUAAUCUUCUGCCCAAGUGGGCUCCUGAUCAUUGUUCUGAAGUAGAAAGAAUGGAUUCUGGAUUGGAUAAAUUUUCAGAUUCCACAUUCCUUUUACCUUCUCGGCCAGCUCAAAGAGGGUACCAUGCUCGCUUGAAUCGUCUACCUGGAGCUGCAGCUCGAUGCCUCAGAAAGGGGCGAAGAAGGCUGGUUGGGAAGGUGAUACCUCUCACAGUUAGCUUGGCUCAGUGGGGAGAUAAUAUUCCCUAUGGGAGUUGUGUAUCCUAUUAACAAUCAGAGGUGCUACAGAACUCGUUGAAGUUAAUGGAGCCAACUGGAAUGUGUUGGGAGUUUACAAGAGUGAACAUUAUAUAGAAUGUGAAUGGAUAUACAAAUAAAAGAUGAAACGUAAUUCAUACAGAAGUUCUGACAAAGCAAACACUGUCAUUACAGUGUCUAUUGCCUAUAAACCUACAAGCCUGAGCUGUGUCUUCUGUAACUUUUGAUUAAUGUUAUGUUAUUAUUGUGUAAGUUAAAAUACUCUUGGCUUCUUUAUGACUCCUCUUGAAUUCAUGAAUGCAUCUUUGUUCUUUCCUAACUUUGGUCUUUCAUCCUAGAAUUCAUUAAAAAAAAAAAAACAAAACUGUUACUGAGUUUCAAGAGCCCCUCCUUGGCCAUGAGGGAGAACUAUCUGCUGUUCAUUCAGUUCUGCCUUUGCCAGGGAUGGUGCUAGGGACUCAGCUCAUUUAAUCCUUCCAGCAACCUUGUAGAAAAAGGGCAAGCACCUUCAGCAGAUGAGGAAAACUUAGGUUCGAAGAAGUUAAGGAAUGUCUGAUGUUACCCAGAUAGGAAUGGCGGAGUAGAGAUUUGAACCUAGGUCUACUUUUAUCUUUUUACAUUUUUAUUGAAUUUUAUUUUUUACUCUACUUUGAGAUUGAGAAAUAAAUUAAGACAGGGGCUUAUCCUCAGUCAGAGAAGAUGGUGGUGGGCAAAGAAUAAGGAAGGGAGAGGCAUUGAGAGCAUUAAUUUGUUUGUUCACUUGGUAAGCAUUUAGAAUGCCUGCUAGGUGGCACAAUAUGUGCCACAGUCUGGCUUCCCUUAAGGGGAUACUGUUUUAUAGUCUGACCAGGGAACGGUUUUCUGAAGUUUUAGGCAUGCAAAAGAAAUGAGGCUGUUUAUUUCCAGAUGAGCCCAAGAUUCUUAUUUCUUUUUAUCUUUAAAUUCAAGUUCAAAUCUUUUUUUUUUUUUGAGAUGGAAUCUCGCUUUGUGACCUAGGCUGGAAUGCAAUGGUGCGAUCUCAGCUCACUGUAACUUCCUGCCUUCCAGGUUCAAGCGAUUCUCCUGCCUCAGCCUCCCAGGUAGCUGGGAUUACAGGCGCCCCACCAUGCCUGGCUAAUUUUUUUGUAUUUUUAGUACAGACGGGGUUUUACCAUGUUGGCCAGGCUGGUCUCAAACCCCUGACCUCAGGUGAUCCACCCACCUCGGCCUCCCAAAGUGCUGGGAUUAUAGGCAUGAGCCACCGUGCCCGGCCUCAAGUUCAAAUCUUGAAUUAGAAGACAUUUGAUUAUUGAAAGACUGAUACCUUUCAAAUUACUCGUUUUACAGACAAAACUCUGCUUUUGCUGUUUCGGGAGCUUAUUGUUAACAGGGAUAGCUAGCAGAAUAGCAGUACAUGGGGUGGAAGAAGGAGAGGUUUUACUUUUGUUGAUUAGGCUUGACAUAAUGUUCCCCCUGCCACCUAUGUUACUUUCUUUCAGCUCUUGUAAAAUAAGAGCCAUCUACUUCCAUGGAAACAAGUCACUUUAUCUUGAAGGUUUCCCUUUAGCUUGCCUGGAAGGGAAUGAGGGCCUAUUGGAUGUGCCUUUAAUGAUUUCAAAUGAAUAGGAUAAUAUUUACUUGUUUAAUUCAUCUUCAUCACCUUAAAGGGAUAUUUAUCAUUUCUAGAAGAGGUCACCGCUCUGCCCCCCUUCUUCCCCCUCCCCCAUCUCUCUUCUGCUUUUCUAAAUUGUAAUCAUAAAUAAUGAGUUUCAUUCACAGCUCCCUGCCAACGAGCUGCUAAUUACACAAAGUACUGCUUGUAAUUUACACAGUAAUAAACUGUAAAUUUAAACAUUACGGCACUUUAAGUUAAUAAUUUUUCUGCUGUAACAAAUAGCUCAUUUUUCACCCAUCUUUUCCCUUGGCCCCGCUACCAUGUCUGUGUCUGUGACUAGGAGGCAUAGCUAUAAGAAAUGCAGAAUGUGAAGAAUAUAGUAUAUGAAAACUUCUCAUUUAACUCCACUACCGCCCGGACUCUGACCUCAGAGUAAUUUUUCUAUAGCCAGUUCUGCUGAAAUGUGUAGCCUGAUGUUUAGCACGGUCCACACAUAUAGAUGAAUAUAGGUAAUAGCAUUUGUCCAGACACAAAUGUGUUUGAAGAACAGCCUUGACAUUCUUGGCAUUCACACCCAUGACUUGUGUUCUCUCAACACAACAGUUACUCAGAUGUGUGUUGGUAUGCUUUCCCAGGUGCCAUGGUAGGUAAGCAUUGUGAAUGUACUCAAGUUAAAUGAAGAGUGAAUUGCCGUUUUCUAAUUUUUUGGAAAUGGUUGGUUUCUGAACUGUUUGUGGUGUUAUGGGUAAGCUUUUACACUAUAGUCUUGAGAACCCUGAAUUUAGGAAUCAAUUUUAUGCAAAUUUCUAUUUUUAUUUCAUGAGAUGAUGUUUGAGGGACAAAGUACCGAGUAACAAUUUUUGCAAGUCACAAAAUUCUUUUGAUGUAUUUAUAUUUAGUCAGCAGAUAUUUACGUUUUACCAGUGAGGAUUUGGUAAUGUCCCAGGAUGAAGGCUGUUGGGACUAUAAUCACAGAGCUCUAGGGAGCUUGGUGUGUUGGCCUGUUAAAAAUUGGCUACUGUUGAAUUUUCUAAAAAAGGAUUUUUACUCCUAUAUACUUCAGUAGUUACAGGAGGUAUAGUACUUAUUAAAAUACCGUAUAUGGUGAACAGUGUCUAUAAAGUGUUUAUAAAGACUUUUGGAUCACUGGAGAAUAAUAAAUUUAGGGUAACAUGUAAUACUUUUAAGAUGGAUUCCAAUAAAAAGAAGUAUAGUUGCUGUUUUAUUUUAAGAUUGACUUUUAACAUGUGCCUUUUGAGGUUGCCUUAGCUGGCACAGUUAUGGGAAAGAUUGAUAUUGUACUUUAUAUGUUUGUUUCUGUGGUUGGAUGAUACUCUUGUCUGCCUUGUCUUUUUAGGAGACCAGCAUAAACACUUUGGGGACUGAGAGGAUAAGCCAUAUCAUUAGUGACCCUCGGCAGAAAGAUUUCUGGUUACCAUCAGCUGUGAAAAGAGAACGAAAUCAGGUAAGGUUAUUUUUCUUUGUCAUCUUUGUUUUAUCAUUUGGUUUCCUUUUCUUUAGAAAGAAUAAAGCGUUGACUUCUGAUUUUCCUCACAUUUCUGCUUGUGCACAUGAGGUAAGGUUUCCUCUUGUUAUUUUGAUUUUCUUGGAGAACUGUUUUCUAAGAGUAUCCAAUACUUAACUGGUAAAAACUGCAGCUAAUUCCUCUUUGUAGGUUCAACUGUGAUCAUUAGUUUCUUGUAGUAUAUAUUUCAUAGGAAUCCUGUUUUUAUUUUAGUUUUGAACUUUGCAGUAAGAAAGCGGAAUGAAUCUCAUUUGCAUAUGGUUUAGUUCAACAUCAGAAUCCUGCGUUGAGAAGUACUAUGUUGAAGCCUAAACGUAUGAAGCAGAAGGUAGAGCUGCUUUGGGUGAAGCGGGGUCAAAGCCUUAGAGCAGUGGUCCCCAACCUUAUGUCACCAGGGACCAGUUUUGUGGAAGACAGUUUUUCCAUGGACCCGGGUUGGGGGCGUGGUGAGGGGGGUGGUUUUGGGAUGAUUCAAGUGCAUUACAUUUAUUGUGUACUUUAUUUCUGUUAUUAUUAUAUUGUAAUAUAUAAUGAAAUAAUUAUACAACUGAUCAUAAUGUAGCUUGUGUUCCUGCAACUAGACAGUCCCAUCUGGGGGUGAUGGGAAACAAUGACAGAUCAUCAGGCAUUAGGCUUUCAUAAGGCGUGCACAACGUAGGUCCCUCUCAUGCUCAGUUCACAGUAGGGUUUGCACUCCUAUAAGAAUCUAAUGUGGCUGUUGAUCUGACAGGAGGUAGAGCUCAGGCAGUAAUGUGCAUGAUGGGGAGCAGCUGCUUGCUGACAGCUCACCUCCUGCUGUGCGGCCCCGGUGUUGGGGACCCCUGCCUUAGAGCCUCUCCUUCUUAGUCUUUUCCCUGGCUACCCACUGAGGGGACCCUUGGCAUAUUUAGGCCCAUGUGGAGGGCUCACAAUUUAAAAAUUAACUCACAGUGGUUAUUGAUAUGUUUCUUUAUGUGUGAAGCUUUGUGAUUUUUUUGGAGGAUUGCUUUAUCUUGGUGAUUAGUUGUAAAAUAGAUGAACACUGACAGGUGAAAAGUUGUAGGCUUCCUGUUGUGUGUUUUUUUUUUUUUUUUUAGCAACUUAGUAGCUUAUUGAGUUGAUACACAUGAUCCACAUUUUAGACUUGGAAUCUUCAUUGUGAAUUCGCUGUUUCAAAAUUAACUAGAGUGGUAGAAGACAUUACUGGUGUAUGUGUAUGAGAUGAUUUUAGAUGGCAUAUGGAUGCACAAUUUUUAAGUUAUGUGUUAUAGCGUACAUUGGAAAAGAUGUAAUUAUGGUAUCAAGCCUGUUAUUUCAUGGAAAUAUAGUAAGGACAAAGCUGAGCAAAAAUAAUUGAUAUGAGGAAAAAUAAUAAGUAAACAGUAGUACAGGUUGUAGGCAGAUAAGGAAAGUCAUGAAGGUGGUAUGUGAGAGACUGCAGUUUGGGGAACACUGAGCUAGAGCACUAAUCAUGUUUGCAUCAGAGGACCUAAAGGCAGAAGGGGACCUGUGGCAGUCACCUGGUCCAGAUCCGUUAUUUGCAAAUGAUGAACUGGAGAUCUAUAAGAUUCAAACUAUUUGCCCAAAGUCAUACAGCUAAUAGAACCAAAAUUGGAACCUCUGUGGCAGAUAGAACAGUUGCUUAGUUUGUAUUCUCAUAAAACACGUUUGAAGUUAUCAUUCCGGGUUCUUCCAGUCUUUGUAUGUCAGAGGGUGUUAAGUUCUAAACUUUUUGGAGAGGACUGUAUGUUGUGGGAAAAGUCCGAGGAAAGCUAGCAAGCAUAAAGUGAGGGAUCUCAUUUGAUCCUCACAGCCACCUUUUGAAGUCAAGUAGAUGUUUUGCAGAUGAGAAACUGAAAUUAUACUCUGAAAGCAAUAUUUCAUUUAACCCUCAUAAUAACCCUGUGAAAUAGGUAGGGCAGGCCUGGCGCAGUGGCUCAUGCUUGUAAUCCCAGCACUUUGGGAGGCUGAGGCAGGUGGAUCAGCUGAGGUCAGGGGUUCGAGACCAGCCUGGCCAACAUGGCGAAACCCUGUCUCUACU